UACGGAGGGUGCAAGCGUUAUCCGGAUUCACUGGGUUUAAAGGGUGCGUAGGUGGGCAGGUAAGUCAGUGGUGAAAUCUUUGGGCUUAACCCGAAAACUGCCAUUGAUACUAUUGAUCUUGAAUACAGUUGAGGUGGGCGGAAUGUGUCGUGUAGCGGUGAAAUGCUUAGAUAUGACACAGAACACCGAUUGCGAAGGCAGCUCGCUAAACUGUGAUUGACGCUGAGGCACGAAAGCGUGGGGAUCAAACAGG
RNAcentral lists this ribosomal RNA (253 nucleotides) under uncultured bacterium. Its description in RNAcentral is "partial 16S ribosomal RNA". It matches the Rfam family "Bacterial small subunit ribosomal RNA", at positions 524 to 776 of the family's 1533-position model. The record is from RNAcentral.